GUGCUCCCUUCAGCAGCACAUAUACUAAAAUUGGAAGGAUUCAGAGAAGAUUAGCAUGGCCCCCUGCGCAAGGAUGACACACAAAUUCGUGGGGCGUUCCAUAUUUUU
RNAcentral lists this small nuclear RNA (108 nucleotides) under Meriones unguiculatus (Mongolian gerbil). Lineage: Eukaryota; Metazoa; Chordata; Mammalia; Rodentia; Muridae. The record is from RNAcentral.